Molecule: ribosomal RNA, 1383 nt
Filed under: uncultured bacterium
Lineage: Bacteria
Description: bacterial SSU rRNA
Rfam family: Bacterial small subunit ribosomal RNA
Source: RNAcentral
AGAGUUUGAUCCUGGCUCAGGAUGAACGCUGGCGGCGUGCUUAACACAUGCAAGUCGAACGAAGCGCUUAAAUGGAUUUCUUCGGAUUGAAGUUUUUGUGACUGAGUGGCGGACGGGUGAGUAACGCGUGGGUAACCUGCCUCAUACAGGGGGAUAACAGUUAGAAAUGACUGCUAAUACCGCAUAAGCGCACAGUGCUGCAUGGCACAGUGUGAAAAACUCCGGUGGUAUGAGAUGGACCCGCGUCUGAUUAGCUAGUUGGUGGGGUAACGGCCUACCAAGGCGACGAUCAGUAGCCGGCCUGAGAGGGUGAACGGCCACAUUGGGACUGAGACACGGCCCAAACUCCUACGGGAGGCAGCAGUGGGGAAUAUUGCACAAUGGGGGAAACCCUGAUGCAGCGACGCCGCGUGAGCGAAGAAGUAUUUCGGUAUGUAAAGCUCUAUCAGCAGGGAAGAAAAUGACGGUACCUGACUAAGAAGCACCGGCUAAAUACGUGCCAGCAGCCGCGGUAAUACGUAUGGUGCAAGCGUUAUCCGGAUUUACUGGGUGUAAAGGGAGCGUAGACGGUUGUGUAAGUCUGAUGUGAAAGCCCGGGGCUCAACCCCGGGACUGCAUUGGAAACUAUGUAACUAGAGUGUCGGAGAGGUAAGCGGAAUUCCUAGUGUAGCGGUGAAAUGCGUAGAUAUUAGGAGGAACACCAGUGGCGAAGGCGGCUUACUGGACGAUCACUGACGUUGAGGCUCGAAAGCGUGGGGAGCAAACAGGAUUAGAUACCCUGGUAGUCCACGCCGUAAACGAUGACUACUAGGUGUCGGGGAGCAAAGCUCUUCGGUGCCGCAGCAAACGCAAUAAGUAGUCCACCUGGGGAGUACGUUCGCAAGAAUGAAACUCAAAGGAAUUGACGGGGACCCGCACAAGCGGUGGAGCAUGUGGUUUAAUUCGACGCAACGCGAAGAACCUUACCAAGUCUUGACAUCCCUUGACGAUGCUGGAAACAGUAUUUCUCUUCGGAGCAAGGAGACAGGUGGUGCAUGGUUGUCGUCAGCUCGUGUCGUGAGAUGUUGGGUUAAGUCCCGCAACGAGCGCAACCCUUAUGGUCAGUUACUACGCAAGAGGACUCUGGCCAGACUGCCGUUGACAAAACGGAGGAAGGUGGGGAUGACGUCAAAUCAUCAUGCCCUUUAUGACUUGGGCUACACACGUACUACAAUGGCGUUAAACAAAGAGAAGCAAGACCGCGAGGUGGAGCAAAACUCAGAAACAACGUCCCAGUUCGGACUGCAGGCUGCAACUCGCCUGCACGAAGUCGGAAUUGCUAGUAAUCGUGGAUCAGCAUGCCACGGUGAAUACGUUCCCGGGUCUUGCACACACCGCCCGUCA